UACAUAGGUGGCGAACGUUAUCCGGAUUUAUUGGGCGUAAAGGGUGCGUAGGUGGUUGAAUAAGUUACUGGUGGUAAAUCAGAGCUCAACUCUGUGGAAGCUGGUAAUACUAUUGAACUAGAGUAUCGGAGAGGUUGGUGGAAUUCUCGGUGUAGAGGUGAAAUUCGUAGAUAUCGAGAGGAACACCGGUGGCGAAGGCGGCCAACUGGACGAAUACUGACGCUGAGACUCGAAAGCGUGGGGAGCAAACAGG
Molecule: ribosomal RNA, 253 nt
Filed under: uncultured bacterium
Lineage: Bacteria
Description: partial 16S ribosomal RNA
Rfam family: Bacterial small subunit ribosomal RNA
Source: RNAcentral